GAAAUGCGAUAAUUAAUGUGAAUUGCAGAAUUCAGUGAAUCAUCGAGUCUUUGAACGCACAUUGCGCCCCCUGGUAUUCCGGGGGGCAUGCCUGUCCGAGCGUCAUUGCUGCCCUCAGGCACGGCUUGUGUGUUGGGCUUCCGUCCCUGGCAACGGGGACGGGCCCAAAAGGCAGUGGCGGCACCAUGUCUGGUCCUCGAGCGUAUGGGGCUUUGUCACCCGCUCCCGUAGGUCCAGCUGGCAGCUAGCCUCGCAACCAAUCUUUUUAACCAGGUUGACCUCGGAUCAGGUAGGGAUACCCGCUGAACUUAAGC
Molecule: unclassified non-coding RNA, 314 nt
Filed under: plant metagenome
Description: partial contains 5.8S ribosomal RNA, internal transcribed spacer 2, and large subunit ribosomal RNA
Rfam family: 5.8S ribosomal RNA (bases 1-105)
Source: RNAcentral